Molecule: ribosomal RNA, 492 nt
Filed under: uncultured bacterium
Lineage: Bacteria
Description: partial 16S ribosomal RNA
Rfam family: Bacterial small subunit ribosomal RNA
Source: RNAcentral
AGUGAACGCUGGCGGUAGGCCUAACACAUGCAAGUCGAACGGCAGCACAGUAAGAGCUUGCUCUUACGGGUGGCGAGUGGCGGACGGGUGAGGAAUACAUCGGAAUCUACUUUUUCGCGGGGGAUAACGUAGGGAAACUUACGCUAAUACCGCAUACGACCUACGGGUGAAAGCAGGGGAUCUUCGGACCUUGCGCGAUUGAAUGAGCCGAUGUCGGAUUAGCUAGUUGGCGGGGUAAAGGCCCACCAAGGCGACGAUCCGUAGCUGGUCUGAGAAGAUGAUCAGCCACACUGGAACUGAGACACGGUCCAGACUCCUACGGGAGGCAGCAGUGGGGAAUAUUGGACAAUGGGCGCAAGCCUGAUCCAGCCAUACCGCGUGGGUGAAGAAGGCCUUCGGGUUGUAAAGCCCUUUUGUUGGGAAAGAAAAGCAGCAGGUUAAUACCCCGCUGUUCUGACGGUACCCAAAGAAUAAGCACCGGCUAACUUCGUG